GGGUCCUCCAGAAAUGGUUUCUUAAUGAGAUGUGAAGUUAUUUUGAAUGAGAAUUAACAGCAUAUUAAGAUGCUUUAUUACAAUCUCACUAAGUAGAGGAAUCUGCUUUCCAUACUUUCUUCCUUUCUGUAUGAAUCUCCAGGUAAUAGCUCUUCACUGGAACUAGGUCAACAGCAGCAUCACCGGACUGACCCGUACAAACUGCUUGUUACUUGACCGUGAGGUACUGUGCAAUGCAUUCCGUGAGCCGGCUGGUAUUAUUGUAACAUAUUAGACAUGGGGACUCUGGAAACUCCAGGGAGACUGAGCAGUUUGUCCGAAGGCACACAGCUGGCUACACCCCUGCCUUGGAUUUCCUCUUCAGGACUCCUGUUUGCUCCCAGGAGAUUGGGAAGAUACUAUCUAGAUACCCACAAGAGUCCCACUGGCUAGAAAACGAGGUGCAGUAAGGAGGCACCCGAGAAGACCAUCAAUCUGUCAUGUAAAAGGGGAGACGUGGUGGGGGAGAAAGGAGGUAAUUGGAAUUGAGCUUCACUUGGGACUCUUUCUCCAGCGGGAAGUGUAGCUGGAGAAAUACAGAGCAGAGCCAUCCCAAAGGUGUAUUGUACGGCUGGAAGAUUCUUCUCUGCUUCCCCAUUUGCUGAAAUAGACCCUGGAUGGUCUAUUCAGGAGGUGCUCCAUAACUGUGGAAUGGAUGAAAGUGUGUGUUCCCCAAGUGUACUUCAAGAAAGGAAAGAAAAAAAAUGUCCCCUCAGUGACCACCCUCUUUAGGCACAGUCUACCUGUCACUGUGGCUUCAAGGAGCAACAAAGGAAGAUGGCCCUACUGGCCUUGAAUUUGCAUACAAAUGGCCAAGCCACAAAUGAGAUCUUUGAAAGCUGUCAGGGACCUAAGGAGUGUUUAAGGCAGAGAUUCCCAGAAACGGGGCUGCAGGUGUGGCCAGAGCAUUGCAAAGUUUUCACUAGCCUUCAGUGAAAUGGGAAAAACAGGCACAAAGGAGUGCGUUUUCAUAGAGCUCCAUGCAUUUUCUGUUAGAUUUCUGAGAUUGAGUCCUUCUACAUCAUUUGACAAUGAAAUGCCAUUUCUUUUAUAAAGUUAUGGUAACAGACAAUAGCAUUAAAGGAAAAAAAUACC
Mustela lutreola (European mink) is the source of this 1134-nucleotide long non-coding RNA. RefSeq lists it as uncharacterized. The record is from RefSeq and is a predicted model, not a curated record. The transcript is spliced from 5 exons. NCBI's taxonomy places the organism in Eukaryota, Metazoa, Chordata, Mammalia, Carnivora, Mustelidae.